RNAcentral lists this long non-coding RNA (2046 nucleotides) under Anser brachyrhynchus (Pink-footed goose). RNAcentral's name for it is "lncRNA (ENSABRG00000018133.1)". Lineage: Eukaryota; Metazoa; Chordata; Aves; Anseriformes; Anatidae. The record is from RNAcentral.
CUGGAACUCCAUUCGGUCUCUGAGGUGUACUGGCAAGGCGUUUUUCCAAGAUGCUUUCUUCAUGCUCUACUGGAUCACAAGAAUGUUAAGUAGCUGUCAAUACCAUACAGAGUAAUAGAAAGUGUAGUAGGCAGUCUUAUACAUAUAUUUAACCUCUAAUGGGGAUUCACAGGCUUCAGUUGGGCUCCUCUACAGUCAGGAACUCUCCAAAGCGCCCUUGCAGUGGCCAGACUCUGCCCAACUCUGACUGUGCAGUGGUGAAAAAGCAUUUCCUUUUCCUGCUUCUCCCCUCCCUUAGUAAAAAGUACGGUCAAGAUGAUCUGCUAUAGGUCUGAUCCUUCAUUCAGGUAGUAAUUUAAUGCUAUGGAUCCUCAAAGGAAUUUAGCAGAAUUCAGGUGUGGGUGUUUUGUAUGUCUGGGCACUGCUCCGCCCUAGCUUGGACAUCAGGUGUAGAUUUAGGGACGUGGCUUGAGGCACAUUGCUCAAAAUGUGAAUAUCAAGGGGAAUUUUUUUCUCACUCACUACUUGAAGGGCUCAACCAUUCAUUAGCCCAUAAAAAUAUAUAUGCAUUGCUGCAAUAUUACUCAAAACAGUGAAUGAAAUAGCAGUCCUGUUUUUCUUCUAGUGAAAGAAAGUCCAUGUAAAAUUUGGCACCUGCAGUAAGAGCUGAACAAUGAAAUAAACGUACCCAUGAGUGAAGCAGAGCAUUUUUAGCUCAUGGCUUGCUUCGGCUGACAUACAGUUGAUGUCUCUAUUUGACAUGGCCUUCAGGAAGGAUUUCUUUAAUUCAUUUAUAGACCUUGAAGUGUAAAAUUGAUCUCUUCUGGCUGUUUCUGAUACUUCUUAGCAAACAAAUGCUCCUUCCCCCAGGAAAGGCCUUUAUAUACUUAGAUUAAUGAUAUGUAGAGUAACAGGAGCUCUUCAGUCAGCAGUCUAAAGGAUAAGGCUUGAGCUAUGACUGUUUCCUUGCUUAUUAGGAACAGUGUGAUUGGCAUGUCUAAGCAGCAGGAAAACACUAGGCAGCAGGAUAAUUCCACAAGGAAAGAGGAGAAAAGGACAGCCUCUCAAUGUGGCAGCAAUAGCACCAAAAGCCAUCACAACCUGUCUGAGCAGCAGGUAACUGCAAAUACUUUCACAAAAGCACACGCAGAAACAACGAGCCUCUGAAAGCCCUCAGAUGGAAGAUUCUCCCACCCAUCUAAUGCAAGAACAAAGGGAUAAGAUUUACUGGGGAGACUUCAAGUGAAAGCACUUCUGUGUCCUGCAUUUCAUCCUCCACUGAGCUUCAGCUACCAAGGAAAUACAUAGAUGACGACACAUCUGUUAAGAACACAGCAAGAACAAUCUUUCUGCUUUCUCAUCUCAACCACUUCAACAGAGCCAAAUCCUCUCAUCUUGCUUCAUUACAUGUUUACUUGCAUGCUGUAAUCAAAUGUAGCAAACCGAUGUCCAAGAUAACCUCUUGAGUGUACAAUGCACACAGAUUCUCAGAGCUGGAAAUGCUUUUUGUUAUGUCCGACAAGUGGUCUUUGACAAGCCGUGUGUGCAGCGAGUGAUGCAAGGCACUGGCAUAGUCACUGAAUAAUGUGGAAGCAGCCAUGGGGUUGUGCUCUUUGAGUUGAGGGUUCAAGAUCCCCUUGGCUUCCAAGUUAAGCUCAUGGAGAGCUUCAGUCUGGAAAUCUGAUUUAAAGUGACUGGGCUGAUAGUGCUCAACAGAACUGCAGCAAAAUAGAUAAUGUAGCAAGUGUAGGGGUGAAGUCUCUGAAGCCAAGUCUGUAUUAAGCUAUUUUAAAAAAUAAUGAAAAAUCAAUACUACUUCCUGUCUUCAUUUGCUAUCAGGUGAGAAUUUGGUGUUGCUUGUAAUUUUUUCUCAGUGGCUUAGAAGCUUAACUUCUAUCUCAAAGAUGAGCUUGAAUAUUUGGGGAAUGAAGUGAUAUUUAUGGGGCCUAGUAGUUCUCUGCCUGUAUGAUUCUUCCAUAGGAUUCAACAAGGGACUGUUCAAUGUGCUUUUUGGUUAAAUAAAAUCUUCUGGAGCAGUGUUCUGCA